CGAGAUACAUUAUCAGGCUUCAAAGAGGCUAGCGCUUGGUUAUCAUACUUAGAUUCAUUGCCAAGAGCAAUGACUAAAUCUGUUUGUAUUAGUAAACUUACACUCCUGUCACUGUAGUUUUUCUCUGUUGAAGCAGUGCUGCCAAGUUUCUCCUUUUACCAUGCAUAAAUUAAUGACUUGGUUAUAUAAAUGCUUCUUGUGCAUGUUUUAGAGUGAGUGGUACUUACCUUUAAGAUCUCAUGUUAGACUCUCCUCUGUAUUUAAGUGUUGACCAGGCUCCCUGUGACCCACGCUGACUGUCAGUGACAGCCUUGUCAAAGGGCUGCCUGUUCAUGUUUAACCAAGAGGACCAGCUGCCUGCCCUUUCUAUUAUAACCCCUUUGGAAAGCUCACAGUCCUAUUUGCAGUUGGGAGUGAGCGCAGUAAGCAGCAGAGACAGUGUCAGACAGAGUUCAGACAUCGUCGUUAACAGUAGCUGCAAACUGACCAAAUUGUUGCCAAGUUGCCGACGAUUUUUGCCAGCUUUGUCCUUCAGCGUUGUCCAUCUUCCAUCAGAAAUCGCAUCAAGGAAAACGACUGUUGUCCUGAAAUGAGAUGGAAGGCAGUCACUGUGUAUUUUUGUAAAUUUGCCUGAUCUGGUACUGGCUGGCAGAAGAACAGUUAUGCCCCACAUGGCACAUGCUAGCAGCACUCUCAGAUCACCAUCAUUGUCCCGAGCUAUGGUGCUUUCAGUCUGUCUGACUGGCAGCCCUUAAGUGAACCAGCCAAACAGCCAUCCAUUCACAUAAAUAUCAAGCCAGAUAGCUCCAGAAAGGCAGCUAGUUAGUGGUCUGUUGCUGGGGCGGAUAUGGCACAACUCCUCGGUGAAAAUUGUCUCCUGAGCCCCAAACACAGCUGUGUUUAUUCCUUGUAAGAUACCACAGCUACAGAAUGCCAGGACGAAGGUGCUGGGACAGAUCUAGACAUCCUAAAUGGAAAGAAAAAAAGGGACAUAUUAUUGUUGACGUGACUUCUGAGUGGGUUUUAAACAGUCCUAGUAUUAUGUGGGGGAUCCACAGGGCUUUUGGUUGUAGUAUCAGCGUCAGAAAUAAAAAUGUACUGCAUGCUUGUCCUCAAUUCAGGUCAUAUGUAAGAAAAAUGUUCAAAUCCAGUAAUAGAGCCUUUCUUUAGAGAGGAGGUUAGUGGUUGAGUUUGUACUUGUGAUACUUCUUAACAUUUUAAUAUGAAUGUUUUAAUGUCAAAUGAGCGUCACCUCUUCUCCCUUCCUACUCUCUUCCUCCCUCCCUCACUCUCUCUCUCUCUCUCUCUCUCUCUCUCUCUCUGCUCAGUGUUAUCUGGAACAUGCACAACUAAUUCAGUGUAACUGCAUAUUAUGGUAAUGGUGCUUUCAGUUUGCAGGCAGUCAUAAUGGUUUAGCCAAAACAGCAUGCUAUCCAGUCAGGGAAAGGAGCUAGAGACCCACUACGUCUUACUUUGUCUCUCACUCAUUUAGUCACACACAUAAACACACUCAAUACUUUCAAUAAGAAGUUAUAUUCAAGUAUAGGAGCACUAAGGAGAAUUGUAACUUAACAUACAUGUGUGAUGCCCUUAUCAUCAGUUCUUAAAGAGUCUCCUGUAUUACCCAAAGCCCAGCAAACCUGCGCUAAGCCUUCAUUGUCACUGUUAACUAAAAAAGUAAGUUAGUUCAGUCUAGUUUAUACGUCUGCCUUGAAUCCACACCAUGGGAGCCAGUCUCAAUAGCUGUGUCCAGAAAGCUCAGCAGAACACACACAGAGCUGUUCCACCCUGAAUGCUCCAACGCUACACAUUGACCAUGUCCGCUGUCUAUUUUGUGUUGUUGCGACUGGCGUGUAGAUUCCUAGUCACUCAAACUGGUAUUUAUUUGACCAGCGGACCAGUCUAAAGAUGAGAUAAGAAAAAGAGUGUGUCGCUAACGGUAGAGCGAACUCCACCAGCCUUCUCACCUUAUUGCAUAUAAACUUCUACUCCUAAUACAUUACUUCGAUCAAAUCACCUCCAUUUUCUAGAUCAACAUACUGCAAAACUGCUUCUAUCUGCAGUCUGUUCUGUUUACUUCUGGGUAUUAUAGCAUUGAGGCAUUAAGUAGACUACACAUCCAGGUCAUGGUGGGUGGCUGAAUGUAUGACUGGCGUUUAAGUCAACAUGAAAUAGGCAGAAAUAUCCAACUUGAACGGGCAAUGUGUAAGAGCCUGUAAAGGCAUUUGUUUUGGUAAAAGUAAGUGGCUGCAACAAAACCAUGAUCUACACACUCGCCCAGACUCUAAAUAACCAGCUGUCUUUUUUAAGUUUGUAUCUCAGGCACAUGGAGCACAGAAGUACUGAUAAACACAACAGUGUGAACACCUGUCACACUGUAAGCGAGGACUUGACUGUCUUUUUAAACGUUGGAGCUGUUUACAAUAAAGCAAGAAUCAAUCAUGUAAUGAGCAAAUGACAGAAAACGGUUGAAUUUGUCUUCUUUCUUCAGUCUGACAGUUUCAUCAACAUAAAGAAACAACCAUCAAUGCUAGCAUGUGAUAAAAAGACAAAAAACAAACAACAAAUCACUCUGAAUAUCACUCUGUAGUCUCCUGAAGAUGUUUCUAACUUUUAAUUCAACUUUUUCUUAGAUCGACAUCCAAAUAACUCUCACAGCUCAGAUUUAUCGAGGGCGAUUGACUCUUUACUCCACUAGCCCACUAGCCUGUAAGCCAUGGCAACCUAAAUAGAGGCCGUAGAUAUCUGCUGUAAUUCAUCACCGGUAUCUGCCCUAUUAUGAGUCACUUGUGUGUUCUAACCCAGUUUCUGAAAAACGCAGAGCAAGAUUAUGCCAACAGAGGCAGGAGAUAAAGCUGGCGAGAUUAUAGUCAGAGGGCCGCGAGAUGGACUUAGCUUGCCUUGCAGAGGUGGGAUUAAGGCAGCACAACAUAAAGACAUUAAAGGAUUUAUAUGAUCAUUGAUGAUCACGGGGUAUGAGAUGGAGAGUUGAAUAGAUGGUUGGGUAAACAGAGGAACGGGAGAUAAAGACGGCUAGACGUAACAAAACACAAGUGAAUGAUCCAUGGAAGGAGGAUGUUGAAGCUAAAAAUGUAGGCUGUCAGCUGACUUUGUGUAUCUUAUUUCUUCCCA
This is a non-coding RNA of Xyrichtys novacula (pearly razorfish), 3132 nucleotides long. NCBI's taxonomy places the organism in Eukaryota, Metazoa, Chordata, Actinopteri, Labriformes, Labridae. The record is from the annotation of a GenBank genome assembly.